RNAcentral lists this ribosomal RNA (253 nucleotides) under uncultured bacterium. Its description in RNAcentral is "partial 16S ribosomal RNA". It matches the Rfam family "Bacterial small subunit ribosomal RNA", at positions 524 to 776 of the family's 1533-position model. The record is from RNAcentral.
UACGGGGGGGGCAAGCGUUGUUCGGAAUUACUGGGUUUAAAGGGUGCGUAGGUGGGCAAGUAAGUCAGUGGUGAAAUCUCCGGGCUUAACCCGGAAACUGCCAUUGAUACUAUUUGUCUUGAAUACUGUGGAGGUCAGCGGAAUAUGUCAUGUAGCGGUGAAAUGCUUAGAUAUGACAUAGAACACCAAUUGCGAAGGCAGCUGGCUACACAAAUAUUGACACUGAGGCACGAAAGCGUGGGGAUCAAACAGG